RNAcentral lists this ribosomal RNA (468 nucleotides) under uncultured bacterium. Its description in RNAcentral is "partial 16S ribosomal RNA". It matches the Rfam family "Bacterial small subunit ribosomal RNA", at positions 28 to 507 of the family's 1533-position model. The record is from RNAcentral.
GACGAACGCUGGCGGCGUGCUUAACACAUGCAAGUCGAACGGAAGGGCCCUGCUUUUGUGGGGUGCUCGAGUGGCGAACGGGUGAGUAACACGUGAGUAACCUGCCCUUGACUUUGGGAUAACUUCAGGAAACUGGGGCUAAUACCGGAUAGGAGCUCCUGCUGCAUGGUGGGGGUUGGAAAGUUUCGGCGGUUGGGGAUGGACUCGCGGCUUAUCAGCUUGUUGGUGGGGUAGUGGCUUACCAAGGCUUUGACGGGUAGCCGGCCUGAGAGGGUGACCGGCCACAUUGGGACUGAGAUACGGCCCAGACUCCUACGGGAGGCAGCAGUGGGGAAUAUUGCACUAUGGGCGGAAGCCUGAUGCAGCAACGCCGCGUGCGGGAUGACGGCCUUCGGGUUGUAAACCGCUUUCGCCUGUGACGAAGCGUGAGUGACGGUAAUGGGUAAAGAAGCACCGGCUAACUACGUG